UCAGACAUGGUGUAACGGCAACAUCUCCUCGAAAGCUACCAAAAGAGGGGGGGAGAUUUCCGAGCAGGUUCCGGGUUCGACUCCCAGUGUCUGAA
Molecule: non-coding RNA, 95 nt
Organism: Mycena alexandri
Lineage: Eukaryota; Fungi; Basidiomycota; Agaricomycetes; Agaricales; Mycenaceae
Source: the annotation of a GenBank genome assembly